This 253-nucleotide ribosomal RNA is filed under the name uncultured bacterium. RNAcentral describes it as "partial 16S ribosomal RNA". It matches the Rfam family "Bacterial small subunit ribosomal RNA", at positions 524 to 776 of the family's 1533-position model. The record is from RNAcentral.
UACGUAGGGUGCAAGCGUUGUCCGGAAUUAUUGGGCGUAAAGAGCUCGUAGGCGGUCUGUCGCGUCGGCUGUGAAAACCCGGGGCUCAACCCCGGGCCUGCAGUCGAUACGGGCAGACUAGAGUGUGGUAGGGGAGAUUGGAAUUCCUGGUGUAGCGGUGGAAUGCGCAGAUAUCAGGAGGAACACCAAUGGCGAAGGCAGAUCUCUGGGCCGUAACUGACGCUGAGGAGCGAAAGCAUGGGGAGCGAACAGG